UACGGGGGGGGCAAGCGUUGUUCGGAAUUACUGGGCGUAAAGGGCUCGUAGGCGGCCCUCUCAGUCGGAUGUGAAAUCCCCAGGCUUAACCUGGGAACGGCAUCCGAUACUGGAGGGCUUGAAUUCGGGAGAGGGAUGCAGAAUUCCAGGUGUAGCGGUGAAAUGCGUAGAUAUCUGGAGGAACACCGGUGGUGUAAACGGCUUUCUGGACCAUUACUGACGCUGAGGCACGAAAGCGUGGGUAGCAAACAGG
RNAcentral lists this ribosomal RNA (253 nucleotides) under uncultured bacterium. Its description in RNAcentral is "partial 16S ribosomal RNA". It matches the Rfam family "Bacterial small subunit ribosomal RNA", at positions 524 to 776 of the family's 1533-position model. The record is from RNAcentral.